This 137-nucleotide small nucleolar RNA is filed under the name Erinaceus europaeus (western European hedgehog). RNAcentral describes it as "Small nucleolar RNA SNORA48". It matches the Rfam family "Small nucleolar RNA SNORA48". Rfam says of the family: The snoRNA ACA 48 has been identified to guide pseudouridylation of the residue U3797 in the 28S rRNA subunit. Lineage: Eukaryota; Metazoa; Chordata; Mammalia; Eulipotyphla; Erinaceidae. The record is from Rfam by way of RNAcentral.
ACCCCCUGGCAUUGGGCAAAGAGACACCUCACUGGUGGUGUUUUAUAUCAGUCAGGGGCAGAGCAGAUAGUCCUUUGUUCAUCCUAGCUUGAUGCCUGGAUCAGUGGCCAGAGCUGUUUCAUGCCUAGGGCACAUAA